This 745-nucleotide ribosomal RNA is filed under the name uncultured beta proteobacterium. RNAcentral describes it as "bacterial SSU rRNA". It matches the Rfam family "Bacterial small subunit ribosomal RNA", at positions 34 to 776 of the family's 1533-position model. Lineage: Bacteria; Pseudomonadati; Pseudomonadota; Betaproteobacteria. The record is from RNAcentral.
CGCUGGCGGCAUGCCUUACACAUGCAAGUCGAACGGUAACAGGUCUUCGGAUGCUGACGAGUGGCGAACGGGUGAGUAAUACAUCGGAACGUGCCCGAGAGUGGGGGAUAACGAAGCGAAAGCUUUGCUAAUACCGCAUACGAUCUCAGGAUGAAAGCAGGGGACCGCAAGGCCUUGCGCUCACGGAGCGGCCGAUGGCAGAUUAGGUAGUUGGUGGGAUAAAAGCUUACCAAGCCGACGAUCUGUAGCUGGUCUGAGAGGACGACCAGCCACACUGGGACUGAGACACGGCCCAGACUCCUACGGGAGGCAGCAGUGGGGAAUUUUGGACAAUGGGCGCAAGCCUGAUCCAGCCAUGCCGCGUGCAGGAUGAAGGCCUUCGGGUUGUAAACUGCUUUUGUACGGAACGAAAAGACUCUGGUUAAUACCUGGGGUCCAUGACGGUACCGUAAGAAUAAGCACCGGCUAACUACGUGCCAGCAGCCGCGGUAAUACGUAGGGUGCGAGCGUUAAUCGGAAUUACUGGGCGUAAAGCGUGCGCAGGCGGUUAUGUAAGACAGAUGUGAAAUCCCCGGGCUCAACCUGGGAACUGCAUUUGUGACUGCAUAGCUAGAGUACGGCAGAGGGGGAUGGAAUUCCGCGUGUAGCAGUGAAAUGCGUAGAUAUGCGGAGGAACACCGAUGGCGAAGGCAAUCCCCUGGGCCUGUACUGACGCUCAUGCACGAAAGCGUGGGGAGCAAACAGG